Pleuronectes platessa (European plaice) is the source of this 2240-nucleotide long non-coding RNA. RefSeq lists it as uncharacterized. The record is from RefSeq and is a predicted model, not a curated record. The transcript is spliced from 4 exons. Lineage: Eukaryota; Metazoa; Chordata; Actinopteri; Pleuronectiformes; Pleuronectidae.
UUUUUUUUUUAUACGUCUUACACUUUGAUUUACUUGUCGUAGGGCCUUCAUCAGGUCAACUUAAAAAUUACAUGAGUCUCCUCAAGACAACAUGAAGAUGUAAAGUUAUCAAAAAAAACACUUUUCACCACACCGUCUGACCGUGGCGUGCCCUUAAAAUUUGAUGAAUAACAUUAAAACACGGCCUUCUGUAUCUUGGACAUAUUUUGUCCAAUCGAGUCCAAACUAUACACAUAAGACAAGAGUCGCGAUCGGAAGACAUCUACCUAGAAAUCAUGACUUAAAAGGACAGCGCCCCCUGGGGGCAUUAGGAAAUGUCUUGUUUUGGUAGGUGUUACUCUUUGAUCUAUUUCUCCCCAGCCACUGUGCUAAACCAUGUCAAACUUUGUCACAUGGGUCUCAAGAUAUUGAUAAUGUAGGCAUAAUAUUACUGUGACUUUUCAUCAUGCGGAUUGUUAAUGGCGGGGCAUCAAAGUUCAUCAGCUCACCAUGACAAACGAAAUUCAUUUUAACGGAGUUACCAUGAACGCAUCAUUAGACCGCAUUGUUUUGGUCAACUCACACCUGGAGUUAUUUCUAUUCAGCCACUUUGCGAAACCAUUUCAAACUGUGUGAAAUGGGUCUCAAGAUAUUGAUAGUGUAGGCAUAAGAUUGCUGUGACUUUUCAUCAUGAUGAUUAACUGCUUGGCAGCUGAGGUCAUCAUCUCGACAUGAAAAACGAAACGCAAUUUAACACAGCUGCAAGUGAACGCAUCAUGACAAUCUUCAGUAAGAGCUGAGUCUGUGGUGACGGUCCACUCACACAUCGAAUCAGUAGCACAGUUUGCUGUUCUGCUUGUUCAUCUGACGGACACGUAAAAGGCGACUGCUCUCUCGUUUCUGUGGAUGUCCAGCGUGAGACACAACUUGAAUCCAACCAGACUGAACACUGACUCCAGGGACAGACGAGCCUGAAGGACACAGCUGUGAUGACCAUGUUCUGUCUCUUAUGACAAAGCAGAAAUAUAAAACACUGGGUUCUUAUCUAAAGUGUAUCAAAUCAGAUCUCCACCAUGUUGCUGCUGAGGACAUCAGGUGCUGCAGUUCUUCAUCUAUGAAGAUGAAAAAACUCACUGUUAAAGAAUGUUUUGUGUUGUGUAUGAAGCACAACAGAUUUCAGAUAGAACCGUUGUACUGUGGUCUUGGUUUGUAUCCUCAUGGUUAAAUGUACAUAUUUUACGUCCCUUCUGAUAAAAGUACUGAAAGAAAUACAACAUUGUAUAAAUAGAUAAAAUGUCUUUCUACCUCAUCAGUAAUAUUCAAGGUGAUAAUCUCCCACAGAGCUAUUGAUAGAAGUCCACAUCAAGUCUCUCGACUUCUCUCAGUGUGAAAACAUAAUUAUAUCAUUAAUUUGAGAACUGUUUACAACACUGAUGUUUGGAGAUUAAAAUCAUAUCUAAACUGUCUAAUUCACUGUAAAACUCCAUGACAUUCGCAGGCCAUCUGUACUUAAAAGACGAACCUGGAUUGAUCUGUCCAAAAAUCCAAAAGUCUCCCUACCCUCUCUAGUGCCCCUGAGCAAGGCACCUCACUCCCCAAACAUCUGCUCCCCGAGCGCCGUACAUGGUCGCUGACUGCUCUGUGUGUCCUGCACCAGAUGUUGUCUUCCAGUUGACCAGCAUGACGCUGCAGAUCUCCACCAUGUUGCUGCUGAGGACAUCAGGAGCUGCAUUAAUGAGGAGCAGAAGCGCACUGUUAUGAAUGUUUUGUGUUGUGUAUGAAGCACCACAUAUUUCAGAUAGAACCAAUGUACUGGGGUCUGGGUUUGUAUCCUAAUGGUUAAAUGCACAUACUUUAAAUCGCUUUUGAUAAAACGUGAGAAAGAAAUACAACAUUAUACACAUAGAUAAAAUGUCUUUCUACCUCAUCUGUAAUAUUCAAGGUGAUGAUCUCCCACAGAGCUGUUGAUAACAGUCCACAUCAAGUCUCUCCACUUCCCUCAGUGUGAAAACAUAAUUAUAUAAUUAACUGGAGAAGUGUUUACAACACUGAUGUGUGGACAUUAUAAUCUUAUCUAUACUGUCUAAUUGACUCUACAACUCCAUGACAGACUAAAUUAACAAUGUGAAAAUAGUAAUGGUGGAUAUAUCAGCCUGUAUCAGAAUAAUGGUGAAACAGUUAUUAUCACAUGCAACGUACACGUGUAGCGUAUUGAUAGUCACUUAUUAAAAAAAUAAAUAAAGUCACAACCAAAACAAGAA